This 463-nucleotide ribosomal RNA is filed under the name uncultured bacterium. RNAcentral describes it as "bacterial SSU rRNA". It matches the Rfam family "Bacterial small subunit ribosomal RNA", at positions 28 to 489 of the family's 1533-position model. The record is from RNAcentral.
GAUGAACGCUGGCGGCGUGCCUAAUACAUGCAAGUCGAACGCUUCACUUCGGUGAAGAGUGGCGAACGGGUGAGUAAUACAUAAGUAACCUGGCAUCUACAGGGGGAUAACUGAUGGAAACGUCAGCUAAGACCGCAUAGGUGUAGAGAUCGCAUGAACUCUAUAUGAAAAGUGCUACGGGACUGGUAGAUGAUGGACUUAUGGCGCAUUAGCUUGUUGGUAGGGUAACGGCCUACCAAGGCGACGAUGCGUAGCCGACCUGAGAGGGUGACCGGCCACACUGGGACUGAGACACGGCCCAGACUCCUACGGGAGGCAGCAGUAGGGAAUUUUCGGCAAUGGGGGAAACCCUGACCGAGCAACGCCGCGUGAAGGAAGAAGUAAUUCGUUAUGUAAACUUCUGUCAUAGAGGAAGAACGGUGGAUAUAGGGAAUGAUAUCCAAGUGACGGUACUCUAUAAGAA